UCCAGAUGGUGUCUCCCCAUAGAAGAAUGUAUUUGACUUUAAACUUUAUUAGAAUGUACACCUUUCAAGCAUUGGGAGAUCCUCCCCACUCUCUGUAAUGUUAACUACAUUUCAAAGAGUUCCUUCCCAGGCCAGGGAAAAACCCUGGGUCAUUUGAGUAAUCUCAAAAAUAUAUGUCUACCCACUACUUACAAGCUUAACAGUCAUAGUUACAGAAACAUCAGCGAACCGCUAGCUAGCUGAAGAAGAAGUACUGAAAUGUGUGACAUGCCCUUUGUUUGAACUAAGCCCUCAUUCUCCCUCAGUCAGCCACCAGGUAUCUUAUGUCAGUAUCAACACUUAUUUGUGGGCUACUAACAUUGCUUGAUUUAAAGUGUCAAUAGAACUACUGUCCUUACAUUGAAAAGUGAAGGACAAGGACCUCUGGAUGUUGAAAAGUAACACUUGUAAACUCUGUCUGUAAUGACAUGCAGAUUCUACUUCCUGACCUCGAUCUGAUGGGAAUAUGUGAAGUUUACAGUUUUGAACAAAGUCACAAGUCAGAUUUAAUAACCUUAACCCACGUGUCAGUGUCAGUGCCAGUUGACACACCCCAAGGCGUGAUGUUCAAAGUAUAUUUUCCUACAGCGCUCCGGUUUUAACAGAUGACCGAAGAGAAGCUGGGGAUCAGUUGCAGGCAUCUCAGGAAUUCAUAAAGAAAUCUGCUAAUUUUCUGUUUGUCAAACACGACAGCUCACAGAACGAGUUUAAGCAGUGAAAUUGAAAACAGUGUUUGAAUUGCUGAGCCACAAGUUCCACAUCCUCUUGGGGUAUAUUGAUGCUGCAGCGCAAAUUAUUACUCAAACAAGAUUCGUCCGAUAUCGCCAUAAAAACCUGCUCAGCCCAAAAAGAUGUCCGUUCAAAGAAGACAUGCCAUGAUGAUUUAUUUGUAUCUGUUACUCAACUUCGUUCUGUGUGAGGAAGGGAGAAUCAUAACUCCCGAAGGCGGGACAGAGGCCAGGGAAUACCAGUGUGUCGCCGAUGCCAACUCCGCACCAACAAGCUUCGUGUGGAGAUACCAGGGCCAGGCCUUGCCUGAUGGUGUGAGACCCGAGGGGGACAGACUGCACUUCCUCGAGUUGAACUCUGACCUUAACGGCGAGUAUAGCUGUGAGGUCACAAACCCAUAUGGGACGGCUGUGUACUCCAUAUAUCGCCACAUAGUUGACCCCGACGACACCCACAAUGAACUUUGACUGCUGCCCUGAUUUGUCAUUGUGGCUUUCUCUGGACCUGGCUGAAGAAGUCCAAAGUAUCAUGUCUGGCUCAAGUCUGGCUCUGGCUUGUAAUAUACUAGACUUCACAUGCAUAUACUUUCAUUCAUAUACUUGCUUUAUGCAUUAUUUAUUUAUCUUUGAUAUUCCAUCCAUUGCAAGCAGCUUCUUAGCCAAAUCCCAGUGCACUUGAGUGAUGUUAGAACAUACACACCUUCCUCUAUAAUGAGAGGUAUCCAUGAGUGCAUGCACAACUCAAAAUAGAUUGGCUACAGUAAAUAGUGAAAAAUGAAAAAUAUAAGCAGCCUCAUGUAAUGCACAGUAUGGUGUAUGAAUAAUGACAAUGUUAUAUAAUCCUAUAUAUUUGUAAGUUACUUGAAGUCAUUGCUCUUUGUCAUUUGCUCUUUGCCGUUUUGUGCUAUUGCAUUUCAAUAAAUAAAGGAUUUAUUUAAGUGGUCAGUCUGGUGCUUUUGCAAGUGUUUGUGUGUGUGUGUGUGUGUGCACUUGCAUGAGUGUUUGCAUGUUUAGUCACGCAGAAUUGUACUGUUGUAUACUCAGGCCCUUUGAUCUUUUCACCCUAGAACAAGCCCCGUUCCAACCAUGUUAGUUUUGCUUGCCUGCUAUGUGCAACAUGUGAGGCUUGUUUGACCACAUGGUUUGAGGAAGGCUCUUGUGAAAACCUCAGCAGGACACAUCUCCAGUCCAAAACACAUCUGUCAGCACGUAAGAUUUACGUCAGAGGUGGUUAAGUGUACUUUCCGUGGUGCUUCGCCUUGACUACAGCACGUGUCUACACUAAGCAGUCACGGGUGUGCAUGUCUAUAGAUGUCAUCCAUCAGUGUGAUUCUACACACAUACCUUACCUAUUCAUUGUACUUAAGAGCGGAUACAAAAAAGCAAGAGUUUCAGAUUGUUGCACUGGUACAUGGCCUUCCAGGACCAGCUUUUCUGCUUGCAUGGUCUGGACAAGACCACAAGAUGGCAAUCAUAACAGGCCCCUCUGGGUGUCCAGUUAACAUUUUAGUGUGUAAUAAAACAAGAGGCGGAGAUGCAGUUACAUUAGUGACAUCACCACGACUCAUGACAAUAAAACAAUACAUUUUACGUCAGAUAGAUAGACAGACAGACAGACAGAUAGAUAGAUAGAUAGAUAGAUAAAUGCAGAGAUAGUAAGUGAGAAUGCUUGGUCGGACUCAACGCACAUGUCAUGAGUCAUGUAUCGAAGAGAGGAAGCAGUGACCAGACGGCGC
This is a long non-coding RNA of Clupea harengus (Atlantic herring), 2503 nucleotides long. NCBI's taxonomy places the organism in Eukaryota, Metazoa, Chordata, Actinopteri, Clupeiformes, Clupeidae. The record is from Ensembl.